UACGUAGGGGGCAAGCGUUGUUCGGAAUUACUGGGCGUAAAGGGCGCGUAGGCGGUCGUGACAAGUCACUUGUGAAAUCUCCGGGCUUAACUCGGAACGGUCAAGUGAUACUGUCGGACUAGAGUACAGAAGGGGCAACUGGAAUUCUCGGUGUAGCGGUGAAAUGCGUAGAUAUCGAGAGGAACACCUGCGGCGAAGGCGGGUUGCUGGACUGAUACUGACGCUGAGGCGCGAAAGCCAGGGGAGCGAACGGG
This 254-nucleotide ribosomal RNA is filed under the name uncultured bacterium. RNAcentral's name for it is "partial 16S ribosomal RNA". It matches the Rfam family "Bacterial small subunit ribosomal RNA", at positions 524 to 776 of the family's 1533-position model. The record is from RNAcentral.